CGCGUCUGCCGGCCCGGCCCGGGCUGCGCAGGAAGCGAAGGGUAGGCGAGCUGGGGCCCUGGGGUCCAGCGCCUCCCGCCGCCCCCGCUCGCGCGUCUAGCCGGCACCUUUCUUAGGACGCCCGGGAGGCGGUGGCGGAGGGCACAAGGCGGGGGGCUUCGGGUCCCCGACGACGUUAUGGCCGGGUGCGGACGGGCCCCGACUGGGAGACGCGCUCUCGAAAACCUAGUGCUGGUUCUGGCUCUGCUCUGAUUCAGGAGGGAAGGGCCUACCUCGGCUUCUUGACCGAACCACGGGGAACCUAGUGGAGUCCUGGGGGUCGUUCCUUGUGUCCGGUUCGGGACGAAGCGCGCUGCUGUAGUCCGCACGUGAUCGCCCGGGGCAAGAUGGCAUUAACGGAGAAACGGACCCAGAGGCGUCGGGAAUCCCAGAUGGGCGCGUGCCACCGCUUGAUGCCUGGUCCACGUCGGGGGUCUGGCACGUCGUUUUUAGGUUCUAGAAAGGCACCCAGGUGUCCCCUCUCUACCGAGUCUGACUCGUGCCUCUAUGCGCACCCGAUGUCUCCAGGCUUCCUCAGAAGGCGCCCUGUAAACCUGAGUUUUCUUAACGAAGAGGCACAGAACAGUUGCCGAAUGUGGGCGAGAGCUCCGAGUUCUGGUGAAAUCAGCUCAAAGGUGGCUGCGUCGGCCUCGCAGUCCGAGGUGCCCACGGGCGUUUACGUUCUGGAGCUCGUCCCUUCCGCCUUCAAGUGCAGAUGCGCGUGAGGGACACACACACACACCUGAUCAGGAAAGUUGCCCUGGAAGGGAGUCCCAGUGCCAGUGAGAUCGCGAGUGCAGUGCUAAACUCCUGGGCCCUGGUAAGAGAGUUCGGUCAAGACGGUGAUGGCCCCUACCUUUCAGGGAAAAGGAAGCGCCCCCACCACAAGGAAGUUCUAGGAUACCCGCAGUGUGCUAGACUCGCGGGCUCAGUCCACCUUUCACUGAUUUCAGUCGCCCUGGGAAAUAUUAUAUCACUUUGCAGACAAACUUGCUCAAAGUCACGCUGCAGGCUGUAUUUGAAUCCAGAUUCUUUUUUUUUUUUAAGCACCACUUAAAAGAAAAUAUGACAACCAGUGAGACAGAGAUGUAAAAAGAUUUAAGUAUCCAAUCAUUUCUAUAGAAUUUGACUUUUCAGACAGAAAACCUUCCAUAAUUGUGUAUCUUUACACAAUUAGAACCACAGGUUUUCAUUUGCUACUUUCAUUAACAUUUUUCUUUUGUUAACAUAAUUCAUUUUUAGGGAGUGCAGGUACCCCUAUCCAUCCACUUAAUAUCCUGGUAUAGUAUAUUUUGUUACUUUGAGAUUGUUUGCAAAUAUAUCCUUGAAUUCUGCACAUGGGACACAUUCCCUGGAAUUGGGAAAGCUCCAGGUGGAAAGCUUUGAGUGGCCGAGAACAGCAGAGUGAUUUUGCCCUACAAUGACUUUGAACUUUCCCAAGAAGCUGCACCAUUUAUUCUAUCACCUCCAAGGAACAAAUGUAAGGAGUUUAAUACACAAUUCUAAGCAUUGAGUGCCGUCUUUUCUCCCCUACAUUAAUAAUGUCUAUGGAUAGUUCAAGGUUACCUUACUAAGCAUUUUUUUAGAUGACUAAACAUUCAAAAUUUCCUAUCUUCAUUCCCAUUUUUGUGAAUGACCUGUUCAUAUCCAUUUAUCUGUUGGGGCCUUAUACCUCUUCUAACUUUGAACAAGCAUUUUUUUUUUUUUUUACAGAUAUUACUCCUUUGCAAUCACUGAUGCAAAUAUUUCCAGUCUGUUGUUCUUUUUUGUUUUAUUCUAAUGUUCAAUUUGUCAUUUUUUUCAUUACUUCAAUACUAAUGAAGUAAGCUUUCUUCCACCCAUCUGAUAAUCUGUUUUCUACUAGUUUUAUACAAUUUCAUUUCAUAUUUAAUUCCUUGAUGACUAUAUGCUGAAUUUAUUUUGCUUUAUUUUGGAGUAAAAUGUGGAUUUAACUCAUCUGCUCUGUUACCAAUUGUUAUUGCUUAUGCAGUCACCAUUUAUCAAACAGUUCUUCCCUUAUGAUUUGUUUAGUUAAACCUACUUUUAUGGGUUGGUAUAUUUUUUAAUUUUCCAUUUCCUUCCAUAGGCCUUGGUUUAAGCAAAGACUACAUGUAUAUAAAUAUUGGCUGUUUGAAAUAGGUUUUUAAAAAUCUUUUUUAGUUGUCUUUAUUUUUAUGUGGUGCUGAGGAUUGAACCCAGUGCCUCAUGUUUGCAAAGCAAGCACUCUACCACUGAGCUACAGCCUCAGCCCUGAAAACGGUUUUUACAUCUGACAAGGCUCAGUUCCUACUAUGCCAGGUGGGGGUCUUCUUUUUUCAGAAUAUCACUUAAUAUUCACACAAGUUCAUGUGUCCAUGUACAUUUUAGAAUAAU
Molecule: long non-coding RNA, 2412 nt
Filed under: Marmota monax (woodchuck)
Lineage: Eukaryota; Metazoa; Chordata; Mammalia; Rodentia; Sciuridae
Source: RNAcentral